UGAAAAGGGCAAACCUGCCGCAAGGCAGGGGCGCAAAGCCACGGGCCCUAGCUAGAAAGGGUAGCCGGGUUGCCA
This 75-nucleotide non-coding RNA is filed under the name marine sediment metagenome. RNAcentral describes it as "c-di-GMP-I riboswitch aptamer". It matches the Rfam family "c-di-GMP-I-GGC riboswitch aptamer". RNAcentral also lists the same sequence under 1 other name. The record is from RNAcentral.